Molecule: microRNA precursor, 53 nt
Filed under: Pteropus alecto (black flying fox)
Lineage: Eukaryota; Metazoa; Chordata; Mammalia; Chiroptera; Pteropodidae
Description: microRNA pal-mir-10012 precursor
Source: miRBase by way of RNAcentral
UCUGGGCUAUGGCAAUGCUGUGUCAGGUGCACAGCAUGGCCAUAGCCCAGAUG